This 171-nucleotide unclassified non-coding RNA is filed under the name uncultured Dermateaceae. Its description in RNAcentral is "sequence contains ITS1". Lineage: Eukaryota; Fungi; Ascomycota; Leotiomycetes; Helotiales; Dermateaceae. The record is from RNAcentral.
CAGAGUUCGUGCCCUCACGGGUAGAUCUCCCACCCUGUGUUAUUAUACCUUUGUUGCUUUGGCGGGCCGCCCUCGGCUACCGGCCCCGGCUGGUACGCGCCCGCCGGAGGCCCCAAACUCUUAUGUCUUUAGUGGUUUUCUCCUCUGAGUGACACAUAAACAAAUAAAUAA